RNAcentral lists this small nuclear RNA (319 nucleotides) under Dasypus novemcinctus (nine-banded armadillo). RNAcentral's name for it is "7SK RNA (ENSDNOG00000047432.1)". It matches the Rfam family "7SK RNA". Rfam says of the family: 7SK was discovered as an abundant small nuclear RNA in the mid-70s but a possible function has only recently been suggested. Two independent studies have found that 7SK RNA binds the CDK9/cyclin T complex (known as elongation factor P-TEFb). The record is from RNAcentral. Lineage: Eukaryota; Metazoa; Chordata; Mammalia; Cingulata; Dasypodidae.
GGAACUGUGAGGGUGAUCUGGCUGUGACAGCUGUCACCCCUUGAUCACCAGGGUUGAUUUGGCAGAUCUGGCUGGCUAGAUGGAUGUCCACUUUCUCCCUCACCACUCCAUAUACAUCCCUCCUGAAGCUGCAUGCUUGGUCAGAGGAUGACCUUCCCUACUAGAAGAGGACUAUUCUUCAGUCCAGGGUAUAUGAGUAGCUGUACUCCUUUGCUAGAACCUCUAAACAAGCUCUCAAAACAAGACAUUGGAAAAUGACAUAGACCAUUGAAAGAACAAUGAACAGUGAAAGAACAUUGCAAAUCGGAAUAGAAAAAUU